This 438-nucleotide ribosomal RNA is filed under the name uncultured bacterium. RNAcentral's name for it is "bacterial SSU rRNA". It matches the Rfam family "Bacterial small subunit ribosomal RNA", at positions 954 to 1386 of the family's 1533-position model. The record is from RNAcentral.
GCAGAACGCGAAGAACCUUACCUACCCUUGACAUGUCUGGAAUACUCGCAGAGAUGUGAGAGUGCCCGAAACGGGAGGCCAGAACACAGGUGCUGCAUGGCUGUCGUCAGCUCGUGUCGUGAGAUGUUGGGUUAAGUCCCGCAACGAGCGCAACCCUUGUCAUUAGUUGCUACAUUCAGUUGGGCACUCUAAUGAGACUGCCGGUGACAAACCGGAGGAAGGUGGGGAUGGACGUCAAGUCCUCAUGGCCCUUAUGGGUAGGCGUACACACGUCAUACAAUGGCUGGUACAAAGGGUUNCCGAACCCGCGAGGGGGAGCGUAAUCCCAUAAAACCAGUCGUAGUCCGGAUCGCAGUCUGCAACUCGACUGCGUGAAGUCGGAAUCGCUAGUAAUCGUGGAUCAGCAUGUCACGGUGAAUACGUUCCCGGGUCUUGUAC